Molecule: ribosomal RNA, 253 nt
Filed under: uncultured bacterium
Lineage: Bacteria
Description: partial 16S ribosomal RNA
Rfam family: Bacterial small subunit ribosomal RNA
Source: RNAcentral
UACGAGUGGUGCAAGCAUUAUUCGGAAUCAUUGGGCGUAAAGGGUGCGUAGGUGGCAAACUAAGUCUACUGUUAAAUGUCUCGGCCUAACCGAGAACCUGCAGUGGAUACUGGUGUGCUAGAGGAUGGGAGAGAGAAGUGGAAUUCUCGGAGUAGCGGUAAAAUGCGUAGAUCUCGAGAGGAACACCGAUGGCGAAAGCAGCUUCUUGGCCUGAUCCUGACACUGAUGCACGAAAGCGUGGGGAGCAAACAGG